UGUUCUGUUUAGUGGGGAAUCAGCUGAACAAUCUGUAUUUUUGUUCCAGGGAAUUAUGUUGGUUUAAGCAUUAUAGAUAUUGAAAAGAUAAUGCCAAUCCACGAAUGUGUGCUUCCUAUGCUGCAGAAAUGUACACAAACUUAAUGGCCUCAGAGAUGGCUACAAAUAGGAGACAACCGUUGGAGUAUCUAUGUAUUCGUCUCACUCUUGUGGCACCACCAUGGUGGCAUUGGUUAAUGACUUGGCCAGACAUGGCCGGAUUUUUGGGUCAUGAUACAGAUAUCAGUGAGUCUCUAAUCGCUGUGCUUUGCUCCCAGCAGUAUAGUGGAAUUUUUUUGCCUGGUAAUGAAGGAAAGAGCACGAGCAGCAACCUGACUCAAGUUUGGUGAUUUCCCCCUAAAAACAGAGGCCUUGAAGGCCAUCGGGAUGUAGAUGCAGGAUAUUACAACAUCCUGGACAAAUCUCUCUUUGGGUAACAAUUCGUUGCAGCGUAUGAAGUGUACACGCAGAUAUUGCUGCAGGUCAACAAUAAGG
This is a non-coding RNA of Lolium perenne, 534 nucleotides long. The record is from RefSeq and is a predicted model, not a curated record. Lineage: Eukaryota; Viridiplantae; Streptophyta; Magnoliopsida; Poales; Poaceae.